This is a long non-coding RNA of Carassius auratus (goldfish), 880 nucleotides long. RefSeq lists it as uncharacterized. The transcript is spliced from 4 exons. Lineage: Eukaryota; Metazoa; Chordata; Actinopteri; Cypriniformes; Cyprinidae. The record is from RefSeq and is a predicted model, not a curated record.
AAGCAUGCCAGUGUUUACAGGCGAGUGGAAGAACACGUGUGUGUGUGUGUGUGUGUGUGUGUGUGUGAGAGCAGCUGCGCUGAUCAGCAGAGGGAAGGACAGCUGUUAUAACAUGCUGCAGUGUGUGUCUGCUGGUCACUAUCAUGGCUCUCGCGAACCUCAUGCCUCACACACAUGGUGAAAUCUGACCGGUUACUGACCCCAACAACGAUCAUGUGACACUGAAGACUGGAGGAAUGAUGCUGAAAAUACAGCGGAGCAUCACAGAAAUACAUUACACUUUGACUCAUUCGUACAGAAAACAGCUGUCCACCUGUCACUCAAGUGGUCUUAAUUAUGCAGAACUUUAAGGCUUAAUUUAAUUUAAACAGAUGAGUUAUUCACCCCCUCACCAGGCUGUAAACGUUUUUUUUUUUCUGCUGUAAAGUUGGCCAUUUUAACAUGGGAGUCAAUGGAACUGACUGCCUUUUGCAGCCAGCCUCAAGCGGCCAGUCGAUGAAUUACAAUCACUUCUGUAUGGGUUUCACGAGAGAGAGCAGGAGGUUGCCGCUAAAGACAAACAUUAAAAUCUGAUAAUUUCCCACAAAAAGGUUAUUUUGGGCUGGUAGAGUUCACUAGUUUGUUUAUGUAAUCUAGGGCAGGACGAUAUGGCAAAGUUGUUUAUAUAUGUGUUUUUUUUUUAAGUUGAAAAUGUAACUACAACAUGAUUCAAGUAACUUUUUUAACUCUCUAGUUGAAGAAAAUUCUAUUCCAAGUGCAGCACACAUGAAGUUGUCAACAUGAUGUAAAUGUUAAACAAAUCACUUAAAGGUACAGGUUGUAGGACCUGCCACUAGACGGCGCACUACCAAAACAAUAACAAUCACGUGGUUUGAUGACA